GACGAACGCUGGCGGCGUGCUUAACACAUGCAAGUCGAGCGGAAAGGCCUGCUUUCCCUUGUGGAUUGCGGGUACUCGAGUGGCGAACGGGUGAGUAACACGUGAGUGAUCUGCCCCCAACUUGGGUAUAAGCCUGGGAAACUGGGUCUAAUUCCCGAUAGGACUGCAGGGUGGUGCCUGUGGUGGAAAACGAUUUUCUAGUGGUUGGGGAUGAGCUCGCGGCCUAUCAGCUUGUUGGUGGGGUAAUGGCCUACCAAGGCGGCGACGGGUAGCCGGCCUGAGAGGGUGGACGGCCACAUUGGGACUGAGAUACGGCCCAGACUCCUACGGGAGGCAGCAGUGGGGAAUAUUGCGCAAUGGGCGGAAGCCUGAUGCAGCGACGCCGCGUGGGGGAUGACGGCCUUCGGGUUGUAAACUCCUUUCGACCGCGAGGAAGCCACCUGGUUGGAAGGGUGGUGACGGUAGUGGUAGAAGAAGCACCGGCUAACUACGUG
Molecule: ribosomal RNA, 494 nt
Filed under: uncultured bacterium
Lineage: Bacteria
Description: partial 16S ribosomal RNA
Rfam family: Bacterial small subunit ribosomal RNA
Source: RNAcentral